GAUGAACGCUGGCGGCGUGCCUAAUACAUGCAAGUCGAGCGAACGGACGAGAAGCUUGCUUCUCUGAUGUUAGCGGCGGACGGGUGAGUAACACGUGGAUAACCUACCUAUAAGACUGGGAUAAUUUCGGGAAACCGGAGCUAAUACCGGAUAAUAUUUUGAACCGCAUGGUUCAAAAGUGAAAGACGGUCUUGCUGUCACUUAUAGAUGGAUCCGCGCUGCAUUAGCUAGUUGGUAAGGUAACGGCUUACCAAGGCAACGAUGCAUAGCCGACCUGAGAGGGUGAUCGGCCACACUGGAACUGAGACACGGUCCAGACUCCUACGGGAGGCAGCGGUAGGGAAUCUUCCGCGAUGGGCGAAAGCCUGACGGAGCAACGCCGCGUGAAUGAUGAAGGUCUUCGGAUCGUAGAACUCUGUUAUUAGGGAAGAACAUAUGUGUAAGUAACUGUGCACAUCUUGACGGUACCUAAUCAGAAAGCCACGGCUAACUACGUG
This 497-nucleotide ribosomal RNA is filed under the name uncultured bacterium. RNAcentral describes it as "partial 16S ribosomal RNA". It matches the Rfam family "Bacterial small subunit ribosomal RNA", at positions 28 to 507 of the family's 1533-position model. The record is from RNAcentral.